AUUGAACGCUGGCGGCAGGCCUAACACAUGCAAGUCGAACGGUAACAGGAAGACGCUUGCUUCUUUGCUGACGAGUGGCGGACGGGUGAGUAAUGUCUGGGAAACUGCCUGAUGGAGGGGGAUAACUACUGGAAACGGUAGCUAAUACCGCAUAACGUCGCAAGACCAAAGUGGGGGACCUUCGGGCCUCUUGCCAUCGGAUGUGCCCAGAUGGGAUUAGCUAGUAGGUGGGGUAACGGCUCACCUAGGCGACGAUCCCUAGCUGGUCUGAGAGGAUGACCAGCCACACUGGAACUGAGACACGGUCCAGACUCCUACGGGAGGCAGCAGUGGGGAAUAUUGCACAAUGGGCGCAAGCCUGAUGCAGCCAUGCCGCGUGUAUGAAGAAGGCCUUCGGGUUGUAAAGUACUUUCAGCGGGGAGGAAGGGAGUAAAGUUAAUACCUUUGCUCAUUGACGUUACCCGCAGAAGAAGCACCGGCUAACUCCGUG
RNAcentral lists this ribosomal RNA (490 nucleotides) under uncultured bacterium. RNAcentral's name for it is "partial 16S ribosomal RNA". It matches the Rfam family "Bacterial small subunit ribosomal RNA", at positions 30 to 507 of the family's 1533-position model. The record is from RNAcentral.